UGGGGAAUCUUAGACAAUGGGCGCAAGCCUGAUCUAGCCAUGCCGCGUGAGUGAUGAAGGCCCUAGGGUCGUAAAGCUCUUUCGCCAGGGAUGAUAAUGACAGUACCUGGUAAAGAAACCCCGGCUAACUCCGUGCCAGCAGCCGCGGUAAUACGGAGGGGGUUAGCGUUGUUCGGAAUUACUGGGCGUAAAGCGUACGUAGGCGGACUAUUAAGUCAGAGGUGAAAUCCCAGGGCUCAACCCUGGAACUGCCUUUGAUACUGGUAGUCUUGAGUUCGAGAGAGGUGAGUGGAAUUCCGAGUGUAGAGGUGAAAUUCGUAGAUAUUCGGAGGAACACCAGUGGCGAAGGCGGCUCACUGGCUCGAUACUGACGCUGAGGUACGAAAGUGUGGGGAGCAAACAGGAUUAGAUACCCUGGUAGUCCACACCGUAAACGAUGAAUGCCAGACGUCGGCAAGCAUGCUUGUCGGUGUCACACCUAACGGAUUAAGCAUUCCGCCUGGGGAGUACGGUCGCAAGAUUAAAA
This 526-nucleotide ribosomal RNA is filed under the name uncultured Paracoccaceae bacterium. Its description in RNAcentral is "bacterial SSU rRNA". It matches the Rfam family "Bacterial small subunit ribosomal RNA", at positions 355 to 899 of the family's 1533-position model. Lineage: Bacteria; Pseudomonadati; Pseudomonadota; Alphaproteobacteria; Rhodobacterales; Paracoccaceae. The record is from RNAcentral.